This 498-nucleotide ribosomal RNA is filed under the name Lithobius latro. Its description in RNAcentral is "partial large subunit ribosomal RNA". It matches the Rfam family "Bacterial large subunit ribosomal RNA", at positions 1819 to 2600 of the family's 2925-position model. Lineage: Eukaryota; Metazoa; Arthropoda; Chilopoda; Lithobiomorpha; Lithobiidae. The record is from RNAcentral.
UGCCCCCAGAAACAUAAAAUUAGGGGUAGGAUCUGCCCGAUGAUUAAAUUUGAAUGGCCGCGGUAUUUUGACUGUGCGAAGGUAGCAUAAUCAAUCGCCCUUUAAUUGAGGUCUGGAAUGAAUGAUUUAAUGAGAGGUUUUCUGUUUCUUUAAAAUUAACAAAUUUUUAAGGCAGGUGAAGAUACUUGUAUGUUUUUAAAAGACGAGAAGACCCUAUAAAGUUUAAUAUUGUUCGUGAAUAUUUUUUAUUACUUGUGAUAUUUAGUUGGGGCAACUAUGGGAUAAUAUAAACUUCUUACUUAGUAAAAUAUAUAUAAGUAUAUUUGUUUAAAGAUCCAAAAUUUUGAUUAAUAGAAAAAAUUACUUUAGGGAUAACAGCGUAAUUCGUUUUUAGAGUUCUUAUCGAUGAACGGGAUUGCGACCUCGAUGUUGGAUUAAGAUACCUUAAUUAGUGCAGGUGUUAUUAGGGGUAGUCUGUUCGACUAUAAAAUUCUUACA